Long non-coding RNA from Lactuca sativa (garden lettuce), 573 nucleotides. RefSeq lists it as uncharacterized. Lineage: Eukaryota; Viridiplantae; Streptophyta; Magnoliopsida; Asterales; Asteraceae. The record is from RefSeq and is a predicted model, not a curated record.
UGUACAAUGACUUAAUGAUGUGAAAUCCAAUCCGGUCUCUGCAGAUAUCUCUCAAAUCUCCCCCGCCUUCCCCUAUAUCUUAUCUUUCUUCGGGACUUUACAUCCUCCAAUUUCUCCAAGUUUAAGAAAACAUGAUGCCUUCUCUUCCCCACUAGAAAUGCUUUCCCAGGUAAAAAACAUCUAUAUAUUCUUUUUUGUUUAACGUGUUUGUAUGAUUAAGGAGGGGUUUGUUCCGUUUCAGUUUCAUUAUCCUCAUUUCAUUCAAACUUUGGUUUGACCCCUUCUAAAAAAUCUCUCUAAUUAUCUGGAGCCAUUUCAAAUUUCAUCAUUAUCCUCAUAAAUCUUCUUCCCCCAUCUGUGGUUCUAUUUCUAAAAACAGGGACCGAUGAUCUUCACCAUUCUAUGUUGUAGUGUCGAGAAGAAAUUUUGAGCCUGGUGGAUCGUUGAUGUAAUGUUUGAAUUCUAUUUUAAUAUGUUUUUUCCAGUUUUCGCUAAUUUUGAUAAGCCUUUUAAUGUAAGGUUUGCAUUCUCUGUUACAUGGUUUAGCUUGAAUAUUAAUAUCUUAUUUAUAUA